AUGCGGAGGAAGCACAAGAAGGCUCAGCCGCCGGACCCGGCAGCUGCUGUGGAGCAGCCCAAAGCGAGAUCCAAUGCUUUCUGGGACAGGAUGGAGCCUUAUUUCCGGGAUAUGACGUUGCAGGAUUUGGAGAUGGCAGAGCCCAAGCCUCUCUCCAGCUCCAACUGGCUCGAUCCAUGCCUCCUCGUGCCGUUUGUGGGCAGUGGCAAGAAAGUGUUGCGGAGACAUGUUGAUCCGUCUGAUGUGGCCGUGGUCGCCGAAAACUCUAAUUCGAACUCGGUGGAGUUGGAGAACGGCAUGGUGCAUAGCAAACAUGAUCCACAUGAGAGCUCAGAUUUUGUUUGGAACAGUGCGGAGCUAGUCAAUAGCAAUGGGACCAGUGGAGAUCACUGUGAACGGGAUAUGCAGGAGGUGAUUUUGCACCAAGACGAGCAGCCGGUGGUAAUUAAACUAGAUCCAGGCAAGAGAGAUGGUGUUGUUUUACCAGUCCUCAGCCAGAAUCCGGACUCCUCAUUGAAUUGGCUCCUAGGAGCAAGAGGACGGGCUGUGCUCACUUCGGAGCGCCCAAACAAGAAAAGGAAGCUGCUGGGUGCAGAUGCUGGGCUUGAACAGCUUGUGGUCCUGCCACCCUUAGAAGGUGACUCUGGUUCAAAAUGUGAUGUAUGUUGUUUGGGAGAGAGUGAUGCUGCAUCCAACAGGAUGCUCCAGUGCAAUAGCUGCAAGGUGUCGGUGCACCGGAAGUGUUAUGGUGUGCAGGUCGAGCCAGAUGGCUAUUGGAUGUGUGCCUUGUGUGAACGGAGGUUGACACAGAGUGAUGCAGGCAGGAUUGCGUUUAUGCCUUGUGUGCUUUGCUCAACGGAGAAAGGUGCUUUGAAACCUGUAAAAUGUGAGCCUGGUGGAAUUGCAAAUGGGGGCAACCUGAAUUUUGCACACUUGUUCUGUAGUCUAUGGGCACCGGAGGUUUUUGUAGAGGACAUGGACUCAAUGGAACCUAUCACAAAUAUCGAAGACAUCCCAGAGAAGCGGACAAAAAUGGUCUGCACUAUUUGCAAGAUUAUGCGUGGUGCAUGUGUUCGAUGUAGCCAUGGGACAUGCCGGGCUUGCUUUCAUCCUAUAUGUGCAAGAGAGAAAAACCAUCAGAUGGAGAUAUGGGGAAAAUCUGGGCUUACGAAUGUUGAGUUGCGGAUAUUUUGCUCGAAGCAUUCUAGAGUCAGAGGAAUCAGUUCCGUGCACCAUAUCAAUGGUGUUACUGAACAGGAUACCACACAAGUUGGGCUGGAUGAUGAAAAUUUUGCUCAAAUAAGAUAUAAACGCAAGAGUAAGGACAAAUUCAUGAACUUCACAUCCAUGAGCUCUAGUUUCUCCAGCCUAAACAAAGCGCAGACAACAGAGCUGGUUACCUCCACAUGUGCUGUUAGAGGCAUGGAAAGUCAACAAGUUCAAUGCACAAAUAUGGUUGUUGAUCAGCCUACAGGAGCUGGGAAUCUUGUGAGCAAUUCUGGUGAUGUUUCUACAUUUCUUAGAAAGCUAAUUGACCAAGGAAAAGUUAGUAUUGGUGAUAUACAAUCAGAGCUGGGUCUCUCAUCUGAAUCGUUGGAAGCUGCUCUUGUGCCUGAAACAUCCACCUUCUCCCCUGGUCUGAAGUUGAAAAUCAUCAAGUUGCUGCAAAACUCUAUUCCUGUGCCUUCUGUUCAAGUGAAAUCUUUAAAAGAAGGUUCUGUGGCACCGGAAGGUCCAUUGGAUAGAAGUGAAAGUAAGAAUGUAACUGAUUCACAACAUGGCUCAGAACUUGAGGAAGGCAUCUCUUCAUUUGAUCAUUGUUUUCCGGAUGGUGAUAAAGCUAAUAAAGACACUGAUUCAGUUGAAAAUUGCGUGCACACUUGUCAUGAUGGUGGUGACGACCAUAUUCCGCGCCAACCUUUUCUUACCAUUGAUGGUCAUGACUACUAUAUUCAUCCAUCUAUUGAGACAAUGUUGCAGAAUUUGUGCGAUUAUAUUCCGAAUCACAAUAAACAGGCUAAACAUUAUCAUGUAGGAGAAUUAUCCUACCCUCCUCAUGACCAAAACCUUGGUGGUUCACCAACAAAACUUGAGCAAUUAACAGAUAUAGUUGCAGUUGAUCAGGCUUCUAAAGCAGAGUCAUUAGGUAUUUUGGAGCAUUCACCCCAUGACGAAAUAGAAGGAGAAAUAGUUUAUUUACAAUCCAGGCUACUCAAUGAUGUUGCUGCUAUGAACCAGAGAUAUGAAGAUCUUAUGCCUAAGGUUGUCCAGAGUCUUUCUCAAGAAAUGGAUUCUUCCAAUAAAAGAAAAUGGGACCAUAUCAUUGUGAAUCAGUUCCUUCGUGAUAUAAGGGAAGCUAAGAAACGUGGGAACACAGAGAGGAGACACAAAGAAGCUCAGGCUAUCCUAGCUGCAACUGCACCUAUUGCUGCACCCACCUCAAAAGAUGUAAACAUUCGGAAAGAGACAGAAAAUGACGCUGUGCCUGUCAAACAAGAGAGUAUUACCAAAGUCCAUGCUGGAUCUUUAAGAAUCAGCCAAUUGAUUUCGUUGCCACAAACAAAGGAUCCAUCAUUUUCUAACAGUAAAGUCUCAGCGGAUACUAAUUUUGGCAUUUUUGAUCUGGCAAAAUUUUCCAAGAAAAAUGGUCUUCCGUGUGAUGUGUGCAUGCGACGUGAGACUGUAUUGAACCGAGUAUUUGUCUGCUCAAGCUGCAAGGCUGCUGUCCACUUGGACUGUUACCAGAGUCGAACGAAUCCCACCGGCCCCUGGAAGUGUGAACGUUGCCAAGAGAUGCUAUCAGAUGCUGUCGUGUCUGAUAGUCAAUCAGACUGCAGUGGUUCAAAAUCCUGGUUGGUGCUGUGUGGUUUGUGCCAUGGUACAUCAGGAGCUCUUCGUAAGACUACAAACGGGCAGUGGGUUCAUGCUUUUUGUGCUGAGUGGCUCCUGGAGAACUCAUUCAAAAGGGGACAAUGCAAUUCAGUAGAUGGAAUGGAGGGUCUUCUUAAGGGGAAAGACACAUGCUUGAUCUGCCAACACAAUGUUGGCACAUGCUUGAAGUGCAGCACCGUAGGCUGUCAAGUUACUUUCCACCCUGCAUGUGCUAGAGAUGCUGGUCUUUACAUGAACACAAAAAGAUUUGGGAGCUUGUGGCAACACAAAGCAUAUUGUGGCAAUCACAGCAUUGAGCAAAAAAAGGUUGACUCUCAACAAUAUGGACCCGCGGAAGUCAAGAUCAUGAAACAAAUGAGGGUUGAAUUGGAAAGAUUACGUCUUCUUUGCGAGAGGGUUGUUAAAAGAGAAAAGGAGAAGAAAGAGUUGCUUGUAUGUGAACAUGAUAUACUUGCUGUGAAGAGGGACUAUGUUGCCUUCUCGAUGCGGGCUUCAUGUUAUACGCCUGCACCUGGAGCAAGUUCAGAAUCUGCCACUACUUCCGUUAAUAAUAAUUCAUAUGGUGGGAAAAGACAAAGGUCGGAUGAUAUCACAGCGAGAUCAGACGAUGUGACGGUGGAUAGUACUAUUCCCAGGAAACACACUAUCAGGUUCCCAGUGCAUAGCAAGGACACUGAUAGGAAUACAGCUGACAGUUCGACAUCAACAAUAUCAUACAAGCGUAAGUUGGAUGAUGUGGAAUCACUCGCUCUUAAGAAUCUUCAAGAAAGAGCAGCUACUGCCUUGCAGAAAUCAGAAGACGGAGAAACAAAGUCAACAGAUAAUGCCUUGCAGAAAUCAGAAGACGGAGAAAUAAAGUCAACAGAUAAUGCCUUGCAGAAAUCAGAAGACGGAGAAACAAAGUCAACAGAUAAUGCCUUGCAGAAAUCAGAAGACGGAGAAACAAAGUCAACAGAUAAUGCCUUGCAGAAAUCAGAAGACGGAGAAAUAAAGUCAACAGAUAAUGCCUUGCAGAUAUCAGAAGAUGGAGAAACAAAGUCAGCAGAUAAAAAGCAUGCGGAAACAGCUAAAAAGGAGCCUGCUAUCACAUCUGACCAAGCUGUGUCGCAGAAACAACACCCUCCAAAGAGACUUGUUUAUACUCGCCGUGGCUCCUCCAAAAAGAAGCAACGGAGUCAGGAUGUUGUAGUACAAGGGCCUGUUGGUGGAUAG
RNAcentral lists this ribosomal RNA (4104 nucleotides) under Triticum aestivum (bread wheat). RNAcentral's name for it is "partial small subunit ribosomal RNA". Lineage: Eukaryota; Viridiplantae; Streptophyta; Magnoliopsida; Poales; Poaceae. The record is from RNAcentral.